RNAcentral lists this long non-coding RNA (1305 nucleotides) under Aplysia californica (California sea hare). RNAcentral describes it as "uncharacterized LOC118478442, transcript variant X3". The record is from RNAcentral. Lineage: Eukaryota; Metazoa; Mollusca; Gastropoda; Aplysiida; Aplysiidae.
AUGCGUCAUCGUAAAAUACGUUUGCUGGUCCAGUUCGGUUUGGUCCUCUUGGAUUCUUGGAAUGGAAUGUUUGUGAGCCGAAAACCUUCACACAGACUGUGUUAUCCUACCACACUCAAAAGGCGUGUAAAACUUAAAGUUCAAGUUGUUGACUCACAGUAAAUGGUCGCCACGGGCAAUGGGGAUGAAUGACUCGAGGUCCUCUUUUUGUUCGUCCUAAAUGUUUCCAGAUGAUGCCAUGCAACCACAGAAGACCGUCGUCAUGGGGGAUACUACAUUCAACAUCGACGUCAAGCCUUGUCAACUUGUAGAGAUCUAGAUCUAGAUAGAUCUAUUUCCAGCCUUGAGCUGGCAUUGAAAUUUUCGUCAAUAUGAUUCGGAGUCUGAAUCUGAUCGCUCGGUGGUAGAUGUCGUCACACCAGUGGUACGUGGUGGGCUCUGGAUUGUGACAGAUUCUAUUACUUCUAAAACAUGGAUUGGCCGAGAAUUUCAAAUCUUUUCAUCACUUGAUUGGAAUAGAUAGCGUUAGCGAGCCACUUGAGCGGUCCAGUGAGGCCACGUCCGUGAGCAAUUGCAGCUCACGGUAGGAAAAGUGUCAAUAAAGGAACACCCCCCUCCCCCACAGGAAAAAAAUAUCUGGCGUCGCCAGAUAUCAGUCAGCCCAAUAACUUACAGACUUACAGCCUGGCGAAUGCCUGAUCGGCUUUUAUUUAGUGAGGACUCACACUCAAGUCAUGACAGAUCGAAGGGAGAUAACUCAUUUCUUCAGUUAAUGAUUGGUAAACAAGUCCCUUUGAUGUUGGGCAGUCGGUGCUACAUGACUAAAUGUCAACAGAGGACAUGAAAACCUGGUUGUACCACCAGCCCCGCUGUACCGCCAACUUCUCAUGCUCUUUCCAAGAGUUACCUCUUGAGUGAAGAAGGACUUCCAAAUGAAAACAUCAGAGUACCAACACAUACGGUAGAAUUUAGUCUUACUCUUAAAAUUAAUGCACGUUGAAAAGUUUAAAAGAUAAUAUGAGAGAAGCUGAAGCUUUUUGCCAUUGCAUGCAUGGUGUCAGUUUAUUUCCUGCUAGCUGAAAGUUCAUUUUAUUGAGUAAAGUAAAGUGGAGUCCACACAUAAAAACUGAAGCAUGUCGUUGAUCUGAAAGGCCGCUGUAUACCGAAAGCAGACCUGCCACUCAUCCCGAUUUAGUCAGGAUAUCCCGAUUUUUUGCCCCAAAUCUCAAGCAUCCUGAUUUUCCCGAUUUCGAUCGCGUGUAUCCCGAUUUUUUGUCCCAGUCCGCUGUUGUGCCGGAUUUUUCA